AUGACACGACCCGCUUUUGACCCAGCGGACUCGGACCUUUUUGAGCGGCAGGAGGCAGCGCUCUCCAUCUGGACGGAGAAGCUCAAGGGGAAACAGCGGCUCUUCGCGGAGCAAGAGCACCUCUUCGAGGGAACUCGCCUGGCUCUGGGCGGGCCUCGGAGACGCCGCGUUCCCCCACCUGCUGCCUCACCUGCACCGGAGCAUUCGCCGCGGAGAGCGGACGUUUCACGCCGCGCUGCGGCCGUUCCCUCUCUCGCGGGUCCGCUCCUCGCUCACACACCAUCCGCCUUAUUCACCGGAGCUUCCACUUCGCCACGGCACAGCUGCUACGCCUCCCACCUCGGUUCAACAGAGGCUACCGCGCCAGAGGCUCAUCUGUUUACCCCGCCUGCUUCCUCUUCCCAGAGAAAGCGGCGUUCACGCCGCCAUAAAACGGACUAUUCCCAGCAGCUCCCGGCGGUGAGUCCCAGUGACUGUUUGCCUCUUUCCUCAUUUGAUUCGUCACAUAACAUGCAUAAUGGACUCUUCUCCGAUCCAUGGGGGACUUCCCUCGUAGACGAUGAUGUGGACUGGGAAGACCUUUUCUGCUCUGCUUCCCCAAAGACAGCUCAGUUAAAGACUGUAAAUAGCGAUGGCAGGAAGACCAGACCGAAACCCGUUAGACCUGUCAGUGUCACUCACCCAGUUGUUAUGUCCACUCCUAUCAGCCAGCCUACACCCACACCUGUGCCAGCUCCCAGGAGGAGGGCAGCUGCGACCCAGUCUACCUCCGCACCCGCUCCUGUUUCUCGGGUGGGGGUGACUGGUGUCCAGCCACCUCCCGUGCCUGUCCCAGCGCCUAGGCUGAAGGCAGCUAGAACCCAGCCUGACCUCCCUAGAGUCUCGGAAGAGCUAGCCUCUCCGUCUGCUACUUCACCUCCUCAUCCACCUCCUGAUCCAGCCUUUCACGCCCUCGCAUUAUCACUGGUUAAGCUAGCUGAGGUUUCUCCUGCUCAGGCACCAGCGUUACUAGCCCAGGCUAUAGCUUUAUCUCCCUCACUAGCACAGUCUAUAGCUCAGCCACCAGCCACACCAACCACAGCUCCGUCGUCAGCCUCACCCACCUCUAUUCAUCCCUUAGCAUCCCCACUCCAGUCAGUCCACUCACCUGCUGUUCAGCUUCUAGCCCAGUCAGUCCACGCUCCUGCUGUUCAUCUCCCGGUCCAGCCAGUUCACUCCCCUGUAGUUCAGUCACCUGCUCUCGUCCAGUCUCCUGUAGCUCAGUCACCUGCUCUCGUCCAGUCACCUGUAGCUCAGUCGCCUGCUCCACUCCAGUCAGUAGUACAGCCUGCUCCACUCCAGUCAGUAGUACAGCCUGCUCCACUCCAGUCAGUAGUACAGCCUGCUCCACUCCAGUCAGCCCCUGUCCAGUCAGCCCCUGUCCAGUCAGCCCCUGUCCAGUCAGCCCCUGUCCAGUCAGCCCCUGUCCAGUCAGCCCCUGUAGCUCAGUCUGUCCAACCGUCUCCAGCCCAGUCUGUAGUCCAGUCCUCUCCAGCCCAGUCUGUAGUCCAGUCCUCUCCAGCCCAGUCUGUAGUCCAGUCCUCUCCAGCCCAGUCUGUAGUCCAGUCCUCUCCAGCCCAGUCUGUAGUCCAGUCCUCUCCUGUCCAGUCUGUAGUCCAGUCCUCUCCUGUCCAGUCUGUAGUCCAGUCCUCUCCUGUCCAGUCUGUAGUCCAGUCCUCUCCUGUAGUCCAGUCCUCUCCUGUGGUUCAGUCUCCUCCUGUCCUCCAGUCCUCUCCUGUGGUUCAGUCUCCUCCUGUCCUCCAGUCCUCUCCUGUAGUUCAGUCUCCUCCUGUCCUCCAGUCCUCUCCUGUAGUUCAGUCUCCUCCUGUCCUCCAGUCCUCUCCUGUAGUUCAGUCUCCUCCUGUCCUCCAGUCCUCUCCUGUAGUUCAGUCUCCUCCUGUCCUCCAGUCCUCUCCUGUAGUUAAGUCUCCUCCUGUCCUCCAGUCCCCCGUUCUCCAGUCGCCUCCUGUCCAGUCAGUCCAGUCGCCCCCCGUAGCUCAGUGCCCUGCUCCCCGGUUGCCUCCUGUCACCCAGUCACCUGUCCUCCAGCCUGUCCAGUCAGUUCAGUCUGUCGUCCAGCAUCCUGUUAUUCAGUCAUCCGUUCUCUCACCGUCUGUAGUCCACUCUCCUGUUCAGUCCCCAGACCAGCAGCCACAGCAUCCAGAGCCAGCUGUGAGCUCUCCCGCACCUCAGCCAGGGGUUUCCGCACCCGCUGGCCCGGCCGCACCUCAGCCAGGGGUUUCCGCACCCGCUGGCCCGGCCGCACCUCAGCCAGGGGUUUCCGCACCCGCUGGCCCGGCCGCACCUCAGCCAGGGGUUUCCGCACCCGCUGGCCCGGCCGCACCUCAGCCAGGGGUUUCCGCACCCGCUGGCCCGGCCGCACCUCAGCCAGGGGUUUCCGCGCCUCCUGGCCCUGCCCGUCUCCAGCCAGAGGCCUCCGCUUCACCCUCGCCUGGCCCGGCCUCGGCCUCCGCUUCACCCUCGCCUGGCCGGCCUCGGCCUCCGCUUCACCCUCGCCUGGCCCGGCCUCGGCCUCCGCUUCACCCUCGCCUGGCCCGGCCUCGGCCUCCGCUUCACCCUCGCCUGGCCCGGCCUCGGCCUCAGCUUCAUCUGCUCCAUCACUGCCGGCUCCCAUGCAGUCGCCUGGCACAGCCUUGGCCUCGGCUUCCGCUCCGCCUGGUCCAGACUCAGCUUCGCCUGGUCCUGCGGCUGCCACGCCGCCGCCCGAGCCUGCACCUCGGAAUCGCUGGCCACUUUCCAGGCCAACAGCUGGACGUCAUCGCCAGCGUGGUCGACCACCGGACCUCCUCAGUGGCCGCCGCCGUCUUCCUCGCGGCCGCCCACCGGACCUCCUCCUCAGUGGCCGCCGCCGUCUUCCUCGCGGCCGCCCACCGGAUCACCUCCUCAGUGGCCGCCGCCGCCCUCCUCGCGGCCGCCCACCGGACCGACUUCAGCGUCGCCGCCUUCCUCGCGGCCGCCCACCUGAACUGUCCGGGCUCAGCCACUGGCCGCAUGGCCGCCCACCUGAACUGUCCGGGCUCAGCCACUGGCCGCGUGGCCGCCCACCUGACCUGUUUUUGUUGUGGACUCCGUCCCUCCAUCCUGGGCCCCCUCCGCCCACCCUGUUCUGGUUUUUCUUUCUUUUGGCCGUCGGGUGCCGGCCUUUGA
Oreochromis niloticus (Nile tilapia) is the source of this 3207-nucleotide long non-coding RNA. The record is from Ensembl. NCBI's taxonomy places the organism in Eukaryota, Metazoa, Chordata, Actinopteri, Cichliformes, Cichlidae.